RNAcentral lists this ribosomal RNA (245 nucleotides) under uncultured Parvibacter sp. RNAcentral's name for it is "partial 16S ribosomal RNA". It matches the Rfam family "Bacterial small subunit ribosomal RNA", at positions 524 to 769 of the family's 1533-position model. The record is from RNAcentral. Lineage: Bacteria; Bacillati; Actinomycetota; Coriobacteriia; Coriobacteriales; Coriobacteriaceae.
UACGUAGGGAGCGAGCGUUAUCCGGAUUCAUUGGGCGUAAAGCGCGCGUAGGCGGUGCUGUAAGCGGAACCUCUAAUCUGAGGGCUCAACCCCCAGCCGGGUUCCGAACUGCAGCACUCGAGUGUGGUAGGGGUGGAUGGAAUUCCCGGUGUAGCGGUGAAAUGCGCAGAUAUCGGGAAGAACACCGAUGGCGAAGGCAGUCCACUGGGCCAUCACUGACGCUGAGGUGCGAAAGCGUGGGGAGC